This 264-nucleotide long non-coding RNA is filed under the name Lathyrus oleraceus (garden pea). RNAcentral's name for it is "Pisum sativum (pea) long non-coding RNA (PSAT_LNC016182)". Lineage: Eukaryota; Viridiplantae; Streptophyta; Magnoliopsida; Fabales; Fabaceae. The record is from RNAcentral.
AAAGGGAAGACAUUAGUAUCCUAAAAAUCUAUAGUAUUCUAGAGGAACCUCAUUGAAAAUUUGUAUAUUUGGCUUUAAAAUGGUGUUGUUUGCAAAUGAUUUGAGAGAUGAGAAGAGAAAUGUUUUUUUUUAUUAAUUUUGUGUUUGCCAAGACUUUCUGGGCCUCAUGCCUACGUACCAACAAAGUGCAAUGGUGGAUCAAAACCUCAUAGUUCAUGGUAAAAAUAACAAAGGUCUUUGUUUUGAUUCAUUUUUUUGGAAAAG